RNAcentral lists this ribosomal RNA (491 nucleotides) under uncultured bacterium. Its description in RNAcentral is "partial 16S ribosomal RNA". It matches the Rfam family "Bacterial small subunit ribosomal RNA", at positions 29 to 507 of the family's 1533-position model. The record is from RNAcentral.
GUGAACGCUGGCGGUAGGCCUAACACAUGCAAGUCGAACGGCAGCACAGUAAGAGCUUGCUCUUACGGGUGGCGAGUGGCGGACGGGUGAGGAAUACAUCGGAAUCUACUUUUUCGUGGGGGAUAACGUAGGGAAACUUACGCUAAUACCGCAUACGACCUACGGGUGAAAGCAGGGGAUCUUCGGACCUUGCGUGAUUGAAUGAGCCGAUGUCGGAUUAGCUAGUUGGCGGGGUAAAGGCCCACCAAGGCGACGAUCCGUAGCUGGUCUGAGAGGAUGAUCAGCCACACUGGAACUGAGACACGGUCCAGACUCCUACGGGAGGCAGCAGUGGGGAAUAUUGGACAAUGGGCGCAAGCCUGAUCCAGCCAUACCGCGUGGGUGAAGAAGGCCUUCGGGUUGUAAAGCCCUUUUGUUGGGAAAGAAAAGCAGCAGGUUAAUACCCCGCUGUUCUGACGGUACCCAAAGAAUAAGCACCGGCUAACUUCGUG